Molecule: long non-coding RNA, 645 nt
Organism: Bubalus bubalis (water buffalo)
Lineage: Eukaryota; Metazoa; Chordata; Mammalia; Artiodactyla; Bovidae
Exons: 2
Source: RefSeq, a predicted model, not a curated record
UAUGGGGUCGCACAGAGUUGGACACAACUGACGUGUCUUAGCAGCAGCAGCAGCAGCAGCCAGGUACUUCUAAUUGUAGGUUCUGGAGGACCCUGCUGUAGGGUGAUUUAGUUCAGCUGUCUUGAGAAACAGUCAUAGCUGACAUGUAAGUAGAUUCCAUCAACUUGCAAUCAUUCACAUCAAACCCUGAAUACGGUGCCCUCCUCUACAACAGAGAUGGUGGGAGAUAAUAGAGAGGAGGUGCAGGAAAUCGUGUUUUCUCUGACAGAAGUUAAUUCUAAAUUAAGUACCCCUGAAAGAGAAGCAGGGAAAACAUUUUUACCUGUCAUGCCUCCUUCGAGGACACAAAACAACCGCGUCUGCACCUGGAGCUCUUUUUCUCUUGAGUUGGUCAGACUCCCUCAUGAAGAAUUUUCCAUUCUCUCUUUUUUUUUUUUCUUGCCAGCAUCCUGAAGACGGUGGGGGAGAGGGGGUCUCGAUAUCUGACAGAGACGAGCUGGUUCCCGUUUUGCACAGCAAUGUGGUGAUGUGUAUCACAGACACUGCUGAGCACCGAGGUUGGGAAUUUAUGCUGCGUUUCUGACUUUGUGUGGGUUUCCAUUCACAAUUGCUGCUGGAAUGUUCUACAGACUUUCUUUCCCAAGA